AUACGUAGGGGGCGAGCGUUGUCCGGAUUUAUUGGGCGUAAAGGGUGCGUAGGCGGCCUUGUAAGUCAGAUGUGAAAUCUCACGGCUUAACCGUGGUAAGCAUUUGAAACUGUGAGGCUUGAGUACAGGAGAGGAGAGUGGAAUUCCUAGUGUAGCGGUGAAGUGCGUAGAUAUUAGGAGGAAUACCAGUGGCGAAGGCGACUCUCUGGACUGUAACUGACGCUGAGGCACGAAAGCGUGGGGAGCAAACAGGAUUAGAUACCCUGGUAGUCCACGCCGUAAACGAUGAGUGCUAGGUGUCGGGGGUCAAACCUCGGUGCCGCAGUUAACACAUUAAGCACUCCGCCUGGGGAGUACGGUGGCAACACUGAAACUCAAAGGAAUUGACGGGG
This 392-nucleotide ribosomal RNA is filed under the name uncultured bacterium. Its description in RNAcentral is "partial 16S ribosomal RNA". It matches the Rfam family "Bacterial small subunit ribosomal RNA", at positions 523 to 918 of the family's 1533-position model. The record is from RNAcentral.